Molecule: transfer RNA, 88 nt
Filed under: Candidatus Onthoplasma faecipullorum
Lineage: Bacteria; Bacillati; Bacillota; Clostridia; Christensenellales; Christensenellaceae
Description: tRNA-Leu
Rfam family: tRNA
About the family: Transfer RNA (tRNA) molecules are approximately 80 nucleotides in length. Their secondary structure includes four short double-helical elements and three loops (D, anti-codon, and T loops).
Source: RNAcentral
GCCGGUGUGGCGAAAUGGCAGACGCACAGGACUUAAAAUCCUGGGUCCGUAACAGGACGUGUCGGUUCGACCCCGACCACCGGCACCA